UGGGAUUUGUGCUGAAAAGUGCUGAUAACACAGGGACGUUUUCACUAUUGUUGAGCAGGGAUUACACUUUUUUACCUCCCACCCCACCAGUGAGGAGGCUGGGAAUGCACAAGUUGGGAGGAGCACAGCCAGGAAAGCUGACCUCAAGAGACACAGGGAUAUAUCCCAGACCAUAUGGAGUCACACUCAGUACAUAAAGCUGAGAGAAGAAGAAAGAAGGGGGAGGUUCAGAGUGAUGGUGUCACUGUUCCACAUGAUGGAGCCCUGCUUUCCUGGAGAUGGCUGAACACCUGCCUUCCCAUGGAAUGUGAGACAUCCUCCACUGAUGUGAUCCAGCUGUGCAGCCUCCUGAGUUCCAGCAAGGGCACGUAGCCUGCACAAGCAGCUCCAACACGGUGGGAACUGAAGUAACCGGUGAAAAAUAAGCCCAGGCAGUGAACAAUUCAAGGACAAUGUGAGAGGAAUAACCGUGUCUAGAAUACUGAAAGAAGGAUAUCCUUACUGGCUUUCCUUGAUGACUGCCUCCUGAGGAAGAGGAACC
Molecule: long non-coding RNA, 541 nt
Organism: Vidua chalybeata
Lineage: Eukaryota; Metazoa; Chordata; Aves; Passeriformes; Viduidae
Exons: 3
Source: RefSeq, a predicted model, not a curated record